GGCCUGUUGGUUAUUUUUUCUUUUGUUAUUGUUUUUUUUCUCUUUUCAUAUGUUUAUCAUUAUGAGAUUAUGCAAGCAAAUAGAAGGGAUAAAUGCAUCAAUGAAACUUCUUAUAUUUCCUCCAAUGUUUAUUUAUACCAAUGUUAUAUUCCAAUUAAUCAAUUGUAAAUGUGAUUUAUAUUAACUGGCAUGCUUAAUAAUCUCAAAGUAGAAAAGGAUGUUCAGAUAUCAAAAGAAAUGUAAAGUGUUUAUUUACUCAUUUAUUUAUUUUUGUUGUUAAAAAUAUUUUAUCUAUUAACUAAUAACAAUGAUAGGCUGUGUUUCAAACAGUGAUGAUAUGUUGGUAGUGAAUUAUUAUAUAGGAAAGAUAUAUAUUGCUUUGAGAAUCAGAAACAAAACUUUUUUUUCUCAGUAAUACAUUAAACCAACUUAUUUUUGCGGAUACUUUAUUUUCGCGUUUUACCCUUUCUUCACUUCGCGGCUAUUUAAUUAUGCGAUUUUCUAAAUUACUUGAUAUAGUUUAGUAAGAAAGUAUCAAAGCUUUACAUAUUCACGACGAUUUAUAUUCGCCUUUUUUUUCUACUCGCAAAGUCGCAAAAAUAAAUCGCUAGCGAAGAUAAGUUGGUUUACAGUAAACUUGUCUAUUACAUAAUGAGUAUUAUAGCCUCUUCAACUCCUUAGUCAAAGUUGACCCAAUAUGACUUAUGCUAUUACUUGUAGGUCUCUUUUGGUUAUAUAGCUCCUAACAUUUGGAUGCAUCAGAAUUUGUAAAGUGUUAUUAUCUUUUACUAACAAUUGGAUGAUAUAAAUGCUGGUAGACGGUUAUACCAAAGAAGGUAUUCAGUGUUUUGUACUGAAAUGAUUUACAACAUUCUAUUCUAAUUUUCUUUGGUAAUAUAAGAUGUUAUAAGGAAACUAAGGUUAAAACUCCCAAAGACAAAUUUGACUACAGAGGAAUUAGCUACUUUUAGGUCGCUAUUUGUCAAAUAGAUCACCAUGUUUUUACCUAUUUACACAUUCCAUGCUUUCAAAUGCUAAGCUUCAAACAUUCUGUAAAGCCAGCAAAGCUCUUUGAAUACACACAAAUUUAUAAAAAGUAAUUUUCAAUCAGUUGAAAAAUAUAAAUAAAAUUGUCACUGAAAAUAUAACAGAUUUGACAGCCAUGACAAUCAGUUUAGAAUAGGUAUGUUUCACUGCAACCUGUAUAUUUUAUAGUUUCUUGGACCAAACCAAUGUAUAGAAAGAAUGUGACAUUUAAUGUUGUUCUACUUAGUGUAAUGGCAUAACUUGAAAUACAAUAGCUGAUAGAUUUACAAUUAAUUCUGUAAUUUUAAUUAUAAAUACAAAAUGUUACCCACUGCCAUUGUAUUCCCCUGGUAGCAUACUUGUAUCUUGUACAGGAGGUUAAAAUGCCUGUUGGGUCAAACAGAAUUUUAUAUUGGUAUUUGCUGCUUCUUUGCCAAGCACAUAUGAAUUAGGAGAGCAAUAACUAUUCAACUUUUGGUAUUUAAGAUCCCAUGUUGCAGAGUGAUGGCUUAUAAAUCAUACUCAGCACAUCAGUUUAGUACAAGGCAGGGUAUGUUGAAUGACAUUGAUAUGUUUUUAUCCUUAAUAUUCAUAUAAUAUUUUCCACUGGUUGCUUAGGAGCUCUAAUAAAUCAAAUUUAAAAGAAAGUAGCCCUAUUCUUUUUUAGAAGUAGUUAUAGUAUUCAUUAUGACUUUUUUGGAAGAUAAUUCUUAUAUUGAUACUGGUAAACUAAAAGGACAGCUGCAGUCUCAUUUAUUUAUAAAUGUGAAUCAUUCAUAGACAUGUAUCAUUGGUGGGAGACAUGAUCGUACAUCUGUAGUAUUUCAUUUAGUCUUCAUUAUGCUAAAAUCAUUUAUGCUUUAUUUAAAUAAUUUGCAAUAAUUUUAUAUUACAAGUUAAAUUUUAUAUUUGACCAGUUUUACAUUAAUAAAACCAUGCAUGUUGCAACCAAAAUCAUUUAACCAGUUAGGUAUUGAAAGCAUUAUUUCAUAGGUGAUAUACCUGGUACCUUGAUUCAAGUGAAUUCUACAACCUAAAGGGCACGUUUCAACUGCUGUCCUCUAUUCAAUGAGACUCCAUACAAGAAUUUUGGUUUUUUAGCAUGUAUGGUUAAAGAUAUAAUGUAUUAUAUUUUAGUCCAAUCAAAUGUCCAAUUUUUCUAAAUUUGGGUUAUUUUAGGCUUACUUUACUUCAACAUUUUAAUUGAGGUUUGUAGCUGUAUUCUUAAAAUUAUUUUAAAAAAUAUUCUGUUUUGAUGAUUAAGCAGUUAAUCUAGAAAUGGAUUGUCGCAACAAUAAAAAUGACACAAAAAAUAAUGAAUUUUAGAUGCACUUAUUACUGAAUAAGAUAUUUUGUUUAAAAAAUUACUGACCAAACCUGAAAAUGUCUUAUAAAUUAAACAAUGAUACAAAUUCGUGGUUGCCAUCACUGACAAAAUACAGGCAAAUGACUAGUAAACUAGUUUCCCUAAUAAGAAUUUGUACCAGUUUUAGAAAUGAAAAUUUGCUCAGAAUGAUGAUCUAAUGUAAAGAGUCACAGAUCACUGUUGAAUUUACAAAUUUUGAAUAAAAAUAGUUAUGCCAAGACUAUUUUCCGCACAAAAUACACUUUAAUGCCCUUUACUCCCAGGAUUGAAUAAUUUAAUGUAUGUCACUUUCUCAGGUGUUGAAAAAAUAUCAGGGAUGUUUAAGAAUCAAAUUAAGUUUUCUUUUUAUAUAUUUUUUGUUUGUGCUAAAUGAAUGCAUUUUUUCCAUCUCUUUGGCAAUUUAUAUUCAUCAUUAAAUCCCUUUUCAAGAAAUGCAUCUUCCUUGUUGUUAAUACGCCGUUGGAUGACAGGCUAACACAUCUAGACAAAGCCAGAUAAAAAGUCAAUUCAGAGAUAACAGUUUUUAUGAUGUCUGAUAAAUAUCCCUGGAAAUCAGAUAUAUGCAUUCUUAACUUGAGGUGGGGUGGAUGGCAUGAAUUGUUUGAUUUAAAACUGAACAUUUAAAACAUGUAUUAGUAGUCUGCAACCUUGUUAUCUUGCUUCAGUGACUUGAUAAAGUUUAUUCAUAUUCUUAUGACUAGUUUAUCUGUACAGUUUCUUUAAGUGUAAAUUCAACUAUAUUUGGUCUAUAUUUGAUGUGUAGGGUCUCCUUCUUUUCUCUAUUUAAUCAUUUAUAUGUUAAUUUAUGAUUUGACAUGGAUCACCUAGCCUGACAUUAUUUAUAUGAUACAUUGAGUAUGGUGAUGUGUAUAGCUUUAAUGUAUUUAUUAAAUGAAAGUUUGAAUAUCUGUAGUAUGUUCUAUAAUUGCGAUGAUGCUUGUAGUUCAACCAAUUUUAACCAUGCAGGUGAGAUGUAUGUUUCUAUGUGUGUUAUGUUGUUUGUGAUCCCUGUUUAAAGUGAAAAUUUAAAUCUUAAGUUGUAAUAUGAAUUUAAGGUACCUGCUGUUUUGUUUUGUUUUUCAUGAAUAUAAGUAUUGAGCUGAGACAUAAUUGUGUAUGAAUUGAUACAUGAAACUAUGGAUCACCUGACCUUUUACAUUGUAUAAAGUUAUGACAAAUACUAUUUUUUUUAUAAAAUAAUAGCUAUUCAACGAUAUGUUCUCUAUUUUAAAAAUAAAUAAAUAUUUAUUGGAGAAAAUUUAUUAAGAAAAGAGAGGCUUCCUAUAACCUGAAAAUGCAUGAAAGGUGUGUGGCAAAUAGAUACAAGAUAUACAUUCAGUUUUAAAAAAAACCUAAACAUUGAUUUUUUGUAAAGCAAAACAUAAUUUUCUAUUGCCGAAGGUCCUUGACUUCUUCAGAAAAAAAUUCUUGAAAAAGUAUUUCUCAUUUCCUUUUUUCUAGCUUUUCAAAUCUCUUUUUCAAAUGUGUAACUUAUUUAACAUUCGUUUUAUUGAUCUGAUAAAAAAGCCAAUGAUAGUGAUCCGUCAUCACCUGAUAUGUAUCAGAAUUGCACUCCUACAAAAUAUUAAUUAUCCUGAUACAAAUGGCAGCACAACUGACCUGCAAGAUCAUAAUUGUGAUAUCAAUUUUGUAACAAGGGAGACUGUUAUACCUAGUAAUCCUUUGGCAGUUCCUUUGGUUCAAAUUAUUUUGGCACCCUUUGAGUUUCUUUUUUUGUGUGUCUUCAAUAUGUAUUGAUUUUUUAAGCAUAACUUGAAUAUUUACACUUGUUCAUUUCUAUUAUUUUUUGUUAUAAAUUUGUGGUUCAUAUAACAUGUAUUCCAUCAAAUAUUUUGUUUGUCAUGGCAAAGAUAAAACCAAAAUAUAUAAAUUUGAAAAUAAAUGUGUUUUUGAUCUUUUAUUAUUUAUUUAG
This 4325-nucleotide long non-coding RNA is filed under the name Mytilus galloprovincialis (Mediterranean mussel). Lineage: Eukaryota; Metazoa; Mollusca; Bivalvia; Mytilida; Mytilidae. The record is from RNAcentral.